GAGGCAGGAGAAUUGCUUGCAUCUGGGAGGCGGAGGUUGCGGUGAGCCGAGAUUGUGCCAUUGCACUCCAGCCUGGGCAACAAGAGUGAAACUUAUCUCAAAAAAAGUAAAAAUAAAAAUAAUAAAAAAUAAAAGUUGGGAAAUAUGACUACCUGAAAAUGCAUGAAAAUGUACAUAUACAUUUUUUUUUUCGAGAUGGAGUUUUGUUCUUGUUGCCCAAGCUGGAGUGCAGUGGCGUGAUCUCCGCUUACUGCAACCUCUGCCUCCCAGGUUCAAGUGAUUCUCCUGCCUCAGCCUCCUGAGUAGCUGAGAUUACAGGCACCUGCCACCACGACAUUUCAAAGUUAAUAAAGUGAUCACCCUUAUACCCACCAUCCAAGCCCGUAAACAGCUCAUCAUUAAACACCAGGCAAUUCACGUCUGUGCCUCACAGACGACAUCUCCAGCCCCAAGAGGAAACCGCCAUGGUUCAUUUUGUAUCAUUCGCCCCCCUCGCUCAUCUUUAUGUUUGCAGCUAUGCAGAAAUCCCCAAAUACCCUGUUUUCUAGUUUCGAUGAUGUUUAUGCUGCGUAUGAUGGCAUGGCAUAGAAUAUUUCUUUGUGCCUUGCUUCUUUCAGGAAAAGAAAAGCUAAGCAGGUAGGGUGCAGGUGGCAUUCAUUCUUUCUUAGUUAUAUUCAUUCCAGAGACCCUGGAUCUGUAUCUCACUUUAGAGAUUAUAAACAUGCUGCUAACACCAAUUUUGCAAAGCCCUCCCAAUGAGCAUUUUAUGAAAGUCAUUCUUGGCCGGGCGUGGUGGCUCACGCCUGUAAUCCCAGCACUUUGGGAGGCCGAGGCAGGUGGAUCACUUGAGGUCAGGGUUCAAGACCAGCCUGGCCAAUGUGGUGAAACCCCGUCUCUACUAAAAAUACAAAAAUUAGUCAGGCAUGGUGGCAUGCACCUGUAGUCCCAGCUACUCAGGAGGCUGAGGCAGGAGAAUUAUUUGAGCCCAAGAGGCG
Molecule: long non-coding RNA, 995 nt
Filed under: Homo sapiens (human)
Lineage: Eukaryota; Metazoa; Chordata; Mammalia; Primates; Hominidae
Description: non-protein coding lnc-ZNF114-2:1
Source: RNAcentral